AUCCUGCUGACGAGUCUGAAAUAGAACGAAACACGAGUCCUGGAU
Molecule: non-coding RNA, 45 nt
Filed under: Schistosoma mansoni
Lineage: Eukaryota; Metazoa; Platyhelminthes; Trematoda; Strigeidida; Schistosomatidae
Source: RNAcentral